RNAcentral lists this non-coding RNA (29 nucleotides) under Mus musculus (house mouse). The record is from RNAcentral. Lineage: Eukaryota; Metazoa; Chordata; Mammalia; Rodentia; Muridae.
UGACUAAGCAUGCACUACCCAGAUAGAUC